Molecule: transfer RNA, 69 nt
Filed under: Marmota marmota marmota (Alpine marmot)
Lineage: Eukaryota; Metazoa; Chordata; Mammalia; Rodentia; Sciuridae
Also listed under: 1 other name
Rfam family: tRNA
About the family: Transfer RNA (tRNA) molecules are approximately 80 nucleotides in length.
Source: Rfam by way of RNAcentral
GGGGUUGUGGCUCAGUGGUAGAGCACUUACCUAGCAUGCAUGAGGCACUAGGUUUGAUCCUCAGCACCA